UAUUUAUUUAAUUGUAUACAUUUUAAUAUCUUCAAUAUUAAUUAAAUUGAUCACAUUGCAUUUUGGUUGCUUCUUCUUCUUUAAAGAUCUACGAGAUUGUAUUUUAAACCAUUAUUUUUGGUUCUUCCUGCUUGUUACUACAUGAAUAAAAUAUUAUAUUUAUCCGUCCAUGAUCACCCAUGUCUGCUUUCUUAAGCUCCCUCUCUUCCUGCAUUAUCUCGUCAAUCUCUCCAAAAUGGAAAAGCCCCUCAAUUCAGUGACUUGUUUACGUGCAACUCAGCUUCUGUUUAUAAUCUGUGUUUUCUUCACGUCCGCAUAGCCGUGCGCCGUAGCUGUUGCUACACAGGAGCUUCUUGUAGGCUUCAGAGCCACGCCUAACCCUUCAGUCUCGUCAUUUCAAUCUCUCCUAAACGACUCAACAAGCAAUUUCUCCCUCGGUUAUUCACCUCCCUUCUCAGCAACCACUAUGGCACUGGCAGGUUAAUCCAACAGGAUUGGCUCACUGUUCAGACAGUACUCAGCUCUUCUUCAAUGGAAUUCUUGUAAUAUCCGAUCCACACUCGGGGUUAUUCUGGUCAAGUGGAACCCAAGGUGACAAAGUUGUUCUUCUCAACACUUCAAAUCUUCAAAUACUCAAGCUGCAAGAAGCCUCUCACUCGGUCCUCUGGCAAAGUUUCUAUUUUCCCACAGAUUAGCCUCGUCGAGAACCAGAAUUUAACUUCUAAUGUGUCCCUUGUUUCAUCAAAUGGGCUUCACUCUCUGCGCUUAGGAGACAAUUUCGUGGCUCUAUACGCUAAGUUCGAAGAAACACAGAGCAAAUGCAUUGGAAACGCAAAGCGCUGGAAGCCAGAGCAGUUAUAGUUGAAGGACAAGGUCCGAUUCUUGCACGGGUCGAAUCGAG
This 901-nucleotide unclassified non-coding RNA is filed under the name Hevea brasiliensis (rubber tree). Lineage: Eukaryota; Viridiplantae; Streptophyta; Magnoliopsida; Malpighiales; Euphorbiaceae. The record is from RNAcentral.